CUAAGUUCAGGUAAGGACAUGUAGUGAAUUUCCCACUCUGAUUUGCUUUUUAGGGCUUUCAAGGAAAUGCUGGAACUCCCGGAGAACAAGGCCAACCUGGUGAUGCUGGGCCCAAAGGACUGUCUGGACCAAUGGGACCAAGAGGAUCUCAAGGUCCCCAAGGAAAAGAAGGUGAACCUGGCCCCGAUGGAGAGACUGGACUGCCGGUAUGUCCCGUUGUAAAAUAUUGAACAGCUG
Molecule: long non-coding RNA, 237 nt
Organism: Orbicella faveolata
Lineage: Eukaryota; Metazoa; Cnidaria; Anthozoa; Scleractinia; Merulinidae
Source: RefSeq, a predicted model, not a curated record